CCGCCCCGGAGGCGUUCCUAGACGGACGGUACAUUUACCUGAACUCAUCACCUUCCCACCCCCAUCCCAUCGACUCUGUGCUGUAUCCUGAACCGGCUGACAGAACAAUGAUGUAGACUUGACUUGUUUUCGCCAACCUGGAAUGAAGCAAAGCUCUUGUGCACCCAAGAUCUGCUCUCUGUUGUAAAUCCUGUUCAGACCUGGUCUAAUUGGUUUGAAUAAAUAAAGAACCGGAAUCUUUC
Molecule: long non-coding RNA, 242 nt
Filed under: Homo sapiens (human)
Lineage: Eukaryota; Metazoa; Chordata; Mammalia; Primates; Hominidae
Description: non-protein coding lnc-CCKAR-1:1
Source: RNAcentral